RNAcentral lists this transfer RNA (63 nucleotides) under Bathymodiolus japonicus. Its description in RNAcentral is "tRNA-Trp". The record is from RNAcentral. Lineage: Eukaryota; Metazoa; Mollusca; Bivalvia; Mytilida; Modiolidae.
AUCAGGGUAGCAAGUAAUUGCGGUAAGCCUCAAGCUUAUAGAUGAAGAUUUAUUUCCUUGAUU